Aethalodelphis obliquidens (Pacific white-sided dolphin) is the source of this 2549-nucleotide long non-coding RNA. RefSeq lists it as uncharacterized. The record is from RefSeq and is a predicted model, not a curated record. The transcript has 5 exons. Lineage: Eukaryota; Metazoa; Chordata; Mammalia; Artiodactyla; Delphinidae.
UCCCACACCCCAAAUUGGCCACCCAGGCCCAGAGGGGAGCUGCCACCCACCAGGGACCCUCCGGAGCGUGGCAGCUGCAUGCAUGGAGGACCUGGGCAGCCCACUUCGAUUACUCUUGCCUCGUAGGAGCCUCAAUUGUUUAGGAAGUUAGAAACGUCCACACAGGAAAGCUGGCCAGCAUCUCUGUAACCUACGCCCGCGCGGGGCGUGGGGACGGCCCGAGUGCUGUGAGCCCCCAGGCCGGGGCGCAGGUAGUUCUGGGUCCUCACGCCUGGCCUGGCCCCGCCCCACCCAGGACGGGGCGCGGGAGGGGUCACGUCUGCGGUCAGAAGCCAGCAGGUGACUGGAGGCAGCUCUUUGCAGUGGAGCUCCUCACUGUGAUGGAGGAAGGGCCCAGUGGGCUGAUUUCCGGGGUGACCGGAGGUCACCAGGUGGGAAUGGACCCCACGCAGCAAGGCCUUCCGGUUCUUGGGACCAGAGUAUUAGGAAACCCAGUUAGCAGCACCCUCACUAAAGGUCGCGCCUUUGACUCAACUCGUCCAGAUGAGGAAAGCGCCCUGUCCCUUGGGGAGGGGGAGCGCCUCCCAAGAGGGCCAACAGGCGGGGUCAACAGUGGGCGAGGACCUCACCCCUGGCGAGGCUGGACACUGCAGUUCCCCCGUGGUCUCCGUUUCUUUUGUCCACUGCCGGGUCCACCAUGCUGUUUCCCCAGAGCUGCGGGGGCGUGAGGGGUGGGGACCUGUGCCCUCAGGACCGAGGUGCCUGCAGCCUGGUCCCCGCUCGAGAGGAGGGUAUGAGAAUGGCCGAGGGUGACAAUUUCCACUGGCGUCACCGCUCACUGCAUGUCCCUUUAUGCCUCACCAGCAAAGAAGAUGUUUUCUAAGAGAAGACAGAGGGUAUGGAGAAUGGCAUUUCUUAAAUAUUAGGAAGGCAGCACUUUUGAGAUUUAAAUUCUGCAUCUAGCCUGCAAUCAUUUUUACCUUGUGUUAAAUAAAAGUACCACGUCAGAGGAGGGGCUGGGAGCGAGUUAAGUGAAAUGGAUACGGAACUUAGACACCUUCUCGGGAGGCUGCCUGGCGAGGGCGCCUGGUGGAGCGGGGAUGCCCUUCUACUGGUGACCGAUUGCAGGCCUGGGCAAAUAUUUCCCAUCACCCCCUCCCUGGGCAGUUGUGUGUGGGUUUAGUUUGUUCUGAAAGUCCUUUCAAGGACAUAAAUAGUCCCAGAGCUUUCUUUAGUCUUUCAAAAGUGCCUUCGUUAUCUGUCCCAAGUUUAUCCAUAGAGAUUUUGGAGGAAUAUUUUUUACUUCCUUCAAGCUGAGUAGUUUACAACUGCUUUCCUCUCCUUCGGGGGGUCCCAGCACCCUGCUGAUCUCUUCCUAGGAGAAUGGCACGCAGAGUGAAGAGACUAGGACCUGAAUGCGCUCACCUGCUGUCCCUCGUUCUGUGACUUACGAGCUUUUCUCAGGCUCAUCCAGUCUUCCAUGCUUUGUACACAAUACGAGGAAAAGAAAACACUGAGUGUGUGCUUCUGCAGGCGUAAGAAAGUGACCUGAGCAAGUCUGCACCUAACCUAGUGGAAGAAGGACUCUCAAAGUCUGCAAGAAUGGUACCAUAGACAUAGAUAUAGAUAUCACUGCAGAUUCGGGAGAAAACAAUCUGUGAACGUCUACUCUUCACAAGAACCGUGCUAGGCGCUGCCAGGAGCACAGAGAGAAGGCAGAGGGUGUGGACCCAAGGGCGGGAGGCCGAGAGGACCAGCUGAUGUGGGGAGGAGAGGAGACAGGAGAUCCGGACCAGCUCCAAGACGGACGUGGCGGAAGUACUGGAAUCGUUGAGGGUCCAUUCACCAACGAUCGCCCAAACAGUUGUUCUUUUUAUAAAAGGAUCGAGAUCCUUCCGUGUAUGAUGCACCUCCUGCCCGUUUCGCCAGCCCUGCGGAGGAAGCCUCUUGCCAGGUCAUUAAACCACCAUCAGAGUCACGCCUGGAAUUCCACGAUGGAGGAGGCUGUACCGUCCCCGAUUUAACCCCCUGUUGUCCCCCUCCCCCAUGCCAACAUCUUGGUCACUCUGACAAGCCUUUCUGCUCACAUUCUCCAGGAGACUUCCUUGGAGAUGCCAUGGCUGUCUGAGAGGCAUCCGGGGUCCCGAUUGGACACCUGGCCCAGCCUGCUCAGGACAGCACAGCCCCGGGGAGGAGGGUGGUACCUGGUGGCCAAGAGCAGACUCUCAGAAACCGAGGGCUCCCAGGCGGUCCUGGAGACCCGCAGGCUCAGGCCACCACAGCAGGGCUUGGGGGCUGUGGGAAAGGGAGAGGCCUCAUCCCCCGGUUGCCAAGGUGACGCGGAAGCCUCUGAUUGCCCAGGAGGACCCGUGGCUCAGCAUCGGGCUUUUUCAGUACAGCCUACAAAGGUGUUUUCGUUCAUUCUGACCUGGUUUUCAUGGAUUUUGGUAUUGUUGUGUUGUUUGUUUAAAAAGACAACACAUGGACUUACGUCAUGAAGAGGCAAAGACGUCACUGGCAUCAGCUAAUAAAAAUGAUCAUAAACUCGU